UAGGGAAUCUUCGGCAAUGGGGGGAACCCUGACCGAGCAACGCCGCGUGAGUGAAGAAGGUUUUCGGAUCGUAAAGCUCUGUUGUUAAGGAAGAACGAGUGUGAGAAUGGAAAGUUCAUGCUGUGACGGUACUUAACCAGAAAGGGACGGCUAACUACGUGCCAGCAGCCGCGGUAAUACGUAGGUCCCGAGCGUUGUCCGGAUUUAUUGGGCGUAAAGCGAGCGCAGGCGGUUAGAAAAGUCUGAAGUGAAAGGCAGUGGCUCAACCAUUGUAGGCUUUGGAAACUGUUUAACUUGAGUGCAGAAGGGGAGAGUGGAAUUCCAUGUGUAGUGGUGAAAUGCGUAGAUAUAUGGAGGAACACCGGUGGCGAAAGCGGCUCUCUGGUCUGUAACUGACGCUGAGGCUCGAAAGCGUGGGGAGCGAACAGG
Molecule: ribosomal RNA, 429 nt
Filed under: Bacteroidota bacterium
Lineage: Bacteria; Pseudomonadati; Bacteroidota
Description: Bacteroidetes bacterium partial 16S ribosomal RNA
Rfam family: Bacterial small subunit ribosomal RNA
Source: RNAcentral